This 374-nucleotide ribosomal RNA is filed under the name uncultured organism. Its description in RNAcentral is "partial 16S ribosomal RNA". It matches the Rfam family "Bacterial small subunit ribosomal RNA", at positions 527 to 896 of the family's 1533-position model. The record is from RNAcentral.
GUAGGUGGCAAGCGUUGUCCGGAAUUAUUGGGGCGUAAAGCGCGCGCAGGGCGGUCCUUUAAGUCUGAUGUGAAAGCCCACGGCUCAACCGUGGAGGGUCAUUGGAAACUGGGGGACUUGAGUACAGAAGAGGAAAGCGGAAUUCCAAGUGUAGCGGUGAAAUGCGUAGAGAUUUGGAGGAACACCAGUGGCGAAGGCGGCUUUCUGGUCUGUAACUGACGCUGAGGCGCGAAAGCGUGGGGAGCAAACAGGAUUAGAUACCCUGGUAGUCCACGCCGUAAACGAUGAGUGCUAAGUGUUAGGGGGUUUCCGCCCCUUAGUGCUGCAGCUAACGCAUUAAGCACUCCGCCUGGGGAGUACGGCCGCAAAGGCUG